Molecule: unclassified non-coding RNA, 2146 nt
Filed under: Leishmania donovani
Lineage: Eukaryota; Euglenozoa; Kinetoplastea; Trypanosomatida; Trypanosomatidae
Description: gene:LdHU3.12.0130(CDS-product:hypothetical_prote in_conserved)
Source: RNAcentral
GUGCAUUAGUGACCUUUCAUGACGUUCAGCAAUGCGCUGUUUUACAGCCCGCCUCCAGCUGCUCACGUUUGAGACACUUCUUUGCGGAGCGCAUGGCGUGUUGCCGCCUCCGACACGUCUUGCUGCGGCAUGUGCGCGCGCCAAGGAGGAGUUUGCAUCGCAGUGCAGCACGAGCGCUCCGCCGCCAACGAUGCUGGCAACGGCUGUUGUAGCUACCCACCUGCUGCACAACAACCUCAGAGACGCCGCGGCGGUGCUUGCGUCACAUCCUUGUCAGCAGCAGGUUCUGGAGGGAGUGCGGGACUAUGUGAGGCAACAUCCUGGCGUGUUUUCGGUUUCUACGCUGACCGGUAUGCUAGAGGAGGCACGAUGCGUGAGUGAGGGCGCUGCGGCUACCUUUCUGCGCGCAGCCGUCGAUGAGUUUCUUCACGGCUCAUCUGCUGCAUCUACAGAGGUAGACGAGGCGACUACGUGGGAUGCGCAGCGCGAGAACUUGCGCUCCCUCGUGCUGCGACACAUUCGCUUUUACCCCGCCUGUGCAUCCUUUCUUCUGGGCUCCCUCUGCGCAGUAAGCCGUGGAUGCGCAGGGGACCGCGAAGACGUCGUCGAGGUAAUGCAGCUCGCCAUGCGUGAGCGCUCGAUGAAUCCGCGGGACUUUGGUGGCGUUCUGGAUAUCGUGUGGAAAUCAAGAGAGCCGCGGCGCGUCGCGAUGAUGUGGGCGUGGAUGCAGCACACAUCUGCCUGCUGGGAUGUUCGCGCGGCUUCGAUCGCCAUCAUGGCGUUUUCGGAGCUUCAUCAAAUGGACGAGGCGGUAGCGUGCAUGCAGAAGCUUGCGGAGGCAGACGGUGACCCGACAAUCGACGCUCAGGUUGCCUUUGUAAGGUUCCUAGGGGCGCGAACACCCUCCCUGCUUCAGUAUGCAACUCAGCUGGUGCUUCAUUGGCACCCCUCAGGCGAGCGGCUGUGGCGCGGGGAGCCCCAGGCCGUCGGAAUGGAGCUGGUGAAAAUCUGCUGCGCGUGCGGCGAGCGUAAAUUAGCUGUGGAGAUGCUUGAACAGAUGGUGGCGACGAACGCAGGUGUGCCAGCAGAGCUAGAGGCGUUUAUGCUGCGGCCAGGUGCUGCUGCCCUCGGUGAGCAUCACAGUGCAUCGGUGGCUACGAACAAGACGCUGCAGGAAUUAUUCAUUGACGUUCCGUUGCACCUGCCCAACCUGGGAGAGCAACCAGCACUUGUCGGACUUCUGCUUUCUCUAGGCAUGGCUACCAACCGCCUUCCAGAAGUGUACGAUGCGCUGGAGAAGGCGUCGUUGACGCCUGCCAACUUUCAAGGCGCGCUUGGCUACUUUACGAUGGGAAGUGCUGUGAAGGCAGCGAGUCCUAUCGCCGUGCUCGCCUGCGUGCGCGAGGCUGGUGCGCGAACAGGCCAUAAAGUUCCCAAAGAGAUGGAGUCGUGGCUGCAGCUAGCGACAGAGAUGUAGGCCGAGAAGGUCUAAGGGAGAAUGCGCAUCAGUCGGUUGUGUCUUACCCUUUGCUGUGACGACGGCUAGAGGCAAAGCUGCUUUGAGAGUGGCGUUGGCCUCUGCCUGCACGAACGUGAGGUGCCCAGCGCAUUCUGAUGAAGGCAACAGUGGGUGAAGGUGAGACGGAGUGGGCGGCAAGGGUGGAUCUCCCUGUUUGCUGCCAGCUGAGGGGGCGGAUGGUGCUGCUCGAUCUUCGGCCUUCGACUGUCAUGAGGGUGCAGGGGUUGCUCCGCCAGGGCAGGCGUGCGCCGCUUUAUGCGGCAAACGCGCUCUUGUUUUCUUGCGUGUCGGUGACUUGCUCUUGACAGCGUGGCAGUGCCAGCUGAGGUCCGAGGUGAUGUGAUGAAUAGCGAGGAACUGGAGAGGGGUAGCGGUCCUCUCCGGGAACCCUCACCGCCACACAUGCGCACCGAAAAAAAAAACAGCGAAGCGCCCCACCGAUUGGGCGAAAGCACACUUGCAAAGCUCCACGUAGGCGCGGAGGACGGAGCUCUGCAGUACGACUAUGACUGCCAGCCAACGCUGGCCUGAGGCGGCUUGUGGCACUCGUCCGUGUCAGUGUGUCGCUCUGCUACCUCUCCGCAUUUUCACUUUAUGCUCCCUCCGCACAAAUUUGCAUACGAGAAG